UGGGAAAUGCAAUCGACGGUAGUCCUGUGCAGUGACCAUGUUCAACGGCCGCGGUAUCCUAACCGUGCGAAGGUAGCGUAAUCACUUGUUCUUUAAAUGAGGACUAGUAUGAAUGGCACCACGAAGGUUAUACUGUCUCCUUUUUCCAAUCAGUGAAACUAAUCUCCCCGUGAAGAAGCGAGGAUAAAAAUAUAAGACGAGAAGACCCUAUGGAGCUUUAAACUACGUAACAUCUUUCUAUAAUAAUUAACAAUUUCUGAAUUUAAACUCCCCAGAAAGUAUAACUAUUAGUUUUUGGUUGGGGUGACCGCGGAGCAUAAUACAACCUCCAUGUUGAAAGAACUUCUCUCUAAGCUAAGAAAUACACUCCUAAGCAUCAAUAUAUUGACAUAAUUGACCCAAUAAAUUUGAACAACGAACCAAGUUACCCUAGGGAUAACAGCGCAAUCCACUUCAAGAGCUCCUAUCGACAAGUGGGUUUACGACCUCGAUGUUGGAUCAGGGUAUCCCAGUGGUGCAGCCGCUACUAAAGGUUCGUUUGUUCAACGAUUAAAACCCUACGUGAUCUGAGUUCAGACCGGGAGGUGUUGUUAUAUUCAAAAAAAGUCUGUCGUGUUUUUAUUACAGCCCGGGGGGGUUCUUAUUUUAGAACAGGGGUGCUGGUGUUAUAAAUAGAACCACCAGCGUUUUUUUAGAUAUCAACGAGGUACA
This 711-nucleotide ribosomal RNA is filed under the name Ghatophryne ornata (Malabar torrent toad). Its description in RNAcentral is "partial 16S ribosomal RNA". The stretch from base 1 to 620 matches the Rfam family "Bacterial large subunit ribosomal RNA", at positions 1874 to 2925 of the family's 2925-position model. The record is from RNAcentral. Lineage: Eukaryota; Metazoa; Chordata; Amphibia; Anura; Bufonidae.